AUUGAACGCUGGCGGCAUGCUUUACACAUGCAAGUCGAACGGUAACAGGCCUUCGGGUGCUGACGAGUGGCGAACGGGUGAGUAAUGCAUCGGAACGUGCCCAGAGGUGGGGGAUAACGCAGCGAAAGCUGUGCUAAUACCGCAUGUGAUCUGAGGAUGAAAGCGGGGGACCAGGCAGCAAUGUUUGGCCUCGCGCCUUUGGAGCGGCCGAUGUCAGAUUAGGUAGUUGGUGGGGUAAAGGCCUACCAAGCCGACGAUCUGUAGCUGGUCUGAGAGGACGACCAGCCACACUGGGAUUGAGACACGGCCCAGACUCCUACGGGAGGCAGCAGUGGGGAAUUUUGGACAAUGGGCGCAAGCCUGAUCCAGCAAUGCCGCGUGCGGGAAGAAGGCCUUCGGGUUGUAAACCGCUUUUGUACGGAACGAAAAGGCUCUGGCUAAUACCUGGGGCUGAUGACGGUACCGUAAGAAUAAGCACCGGCUAACUACGUG
RNAcentral lists this ribosomal RNA (492 nucleotides) under uncultured bacterium. RNAcentral describes it as "partial 16S ribosomal RNA". It matches the Rfam family "Bacterial small subunit ribosomal RNA", at positions 30 to 507 of the family's 1533-position model. The record is from RNAcentral.